AGCCAUGCAGUGCCACGCUGCCACAUUGUUGACCCUCGCUUUCACCCCACUUCCAGACAUUGACAAGUGAAGCCUUUGGAGCCUCAGUCACUCAUGACUUGCCUCCUUUGUUACCUGCCUGAUCUGCAGUCUCAUGUUGGCCCUGAUUCAUGGUGGUCAGCACGUAAGGUUGUUGUGCCUGGUAGGGGCAGAAAGUUUAGCCACUGAGCAGUACCACAAAAUGGCUGUGACCUUGAACGGACAAAGAACUCAGGAAGUGACAGUUCUGGGUGAUGAUAAGACAGCACAACCUGGUCUUGGACUAAAAAUGCAGUUUUGAUCAAGAAGAAGGAAGACUAAAGUGUGGAUACUUCAGUCCUUCUUAGAAUGGGGAACAAAAUACCCAUGGAAGGAGUUACAGAGACAAAGUUCGGAGCUAAGGCGGAAGGAAGGACAAUCCAGAGACUGCCCCACCUGGGGAUCCAUCCCAUAUACAACCACCAAGCCCAGACACUAUUGCAUAUGCCAGAAAGACUUUGCUGACAGGACCCUGAUAUAGCUCUCUCUUGUGAGGCUAUGCCAGUGCCUGGCAAAUACAGAAGUGGAUGAUCAUAGUCAUCUCUUGGAUGGAACACAGGGCCCCCAACGGAGGAGCUAGAGAAAGUACCCAAGGAGCUGAAGGGUUCUGCAACCCUAUAGGUGGAACAACAAUAUGAACUAACCAGUACACCCAGAGCUUGUGUCUCUAGCUGCACGUGUAGCAGAAGAUGGCCUAGUUGGCCAUCAAUGGGAAGAGAGGUCCCUUGGUCUUCCAAAUUUUAUAUGCCCCAGUACAGGGGAAUGCCAGGGCCAAGAAGUGGAAGUGGGUAGGUAGGGGAGCAGGGUGCGGGGAGGGUAUAGGGGACUUUUGGGAUAGCAUUUGAAAUGUAAAUGAAGAAAAUAACUAAUAAAAAAUUGGAAAAAAUGCAGUUUUGGAGGACCGAAGAGAUGACUCAGUGGUUAAGAGGACUUGCUGCUCUUUCAGAGGUCCUGAGUUCAAUUCCCAACAACCAUAUGGUCGUGCACAAACCAUUUAUACUAGGGUCUGAUGCUCUCUUUUGGCAUGCAGUUAUAUAUGCAGAUAGAGCACACAUAUACAUAAAAUAAAAGUAAAUGAAUGAAUGAAAAAAUUCUGGCAGAAAACAAAUGCAGCUGUCUUGCUUUAGCCUCCCAAUUGCUGGGAUGAUAGCCAUGGACCAUCAUGCCUGGCUAACAUCUAUCUACCUGCCUGUCUAUCUGUUCAUGCAUUUACCCAUUGAUCUGUCUGUCUGUCUGUCUGUCUGUCUGUCUGUCUGUCUGUGUAUCUUGUCUCCUUGGUAUCCCAGGCUGGCCUCAAUCAUGAUCCUUAGCCUCCCAACUGCUGGGACUGCUGAUAUGUACUACCAUGUCUGGCCUAAUUAAAGUUUGAAUAAAAGGAAGUGUUUUGACUAUUA
RNAcentral lists this long non-coding RNA (1451 nucleotides) under Mus musculus (house mouse). RNAcentral's name for it is "predicted gene, 33377 (Gm33377)". The record is from RNAcentral. Lineage: Eukaryota; Metazoa; Chordata; Mammalia; Rodentia; Muridae.